This 427-nucleotide long non-coding RNA is filed under the name Phaseolus vulgaris (common bean). RNAcentral's name for it is "long non-coding RNA (PVUL_LNC004783)". Lineage: Eukaryota; Viridiplantae; Streptophyta; Magnoliopsida; Fabales; Fabaceae. The record is from RNAcentral.
UUGGACGGAAAGAAACAGACAAAGAAAUGAAAAGAGUAGGAUGCUCUAUUAUUGGUGUAUAAAUUUUGAGAGUUGGAAAAGUAAGAAGAAGAAGAAAAAAGUGAUUUUGAAGAAGAAGAAGAAAAAAGUGAUUUUGAAGAAGAAGAAAAAAGUGAUUUUGAAGAAGAAGAAGAAAAAAGUGAUUUUGAAGAAGAAGAAAAAAGUGAUUUUGAAGGAGAGGGAAAAGAGAUGGAGGAGCAAAUAGACCCAAGGAGUGGCUUCUGCCCCUCCAACUCAGUUUUCUACAGCAAGCGGAAGCCACUCCCACUCUCUCCCAACAACGCCCUCGACGUCACCACCUUCAUCUCCUCCCGAGCCCACCGCGGAACCACCGCCUUCAUCGACGCCGCCACAGGCCGCCACCUCAGCUACAGCCAGCUAUGGCGAG